This is a long non-coding RNA of Grus americana (Whooping crane), 919 nucleotides long. RefSeq lists it as uncharacterized. The record is from RefSeq and is a predicted model, not a curated record. The transcript is spliced from 2 exons. Lineage: Eukaryota; Metazoa; Chordata; Aves; Gruiformes; Gruidae.
UUGGGUUUUGUGUGGCAAGGUUUUGGUAGCGGGAGGGGCUACAGGGGUGGCUUCUGUGAGAAGUUGCUAGAAGCUUCCCCUGUGUCUGAUAGAGCCAAUGCCAGCCGGCUCCAAGAUGGAUCCGCCCCUGGCCAAGGCCAAGCCAAUCAGCGCCUCUGUGAUAACAUAUUUAAGAAGGAAAACAAAGGCGUUAAAGGAAGUUUUUGCAACCAGAGAGAGGAGCGAGAAGAUGUAAGAAACUCUGCAGACACUAAGGUCAGUGAGGAAGGAGGGGGAGGAGGUGCUCCAGACACCAGAGCAAAGAUCCCCCUGCAGCCCGUGGUGAAAACCAUGGUGAGGCAGGCUGUCCCCUGCAGCCCAUGGAGGAAGGAUGAGGGGGUGUAGAGAUUCUACCUGCAGCCCGUGGAGGACCCCACGCUGGAGCAGGUGGAGGCACCUGAAGGAGGCUGUGGCCCGUGGGAAGCCCACGCUGGAGCAAGUCCGGGCCGGACCGGUAGACCCGUGAAGAGGGGAGCCCACGCCAGGGCAGGUUUGCUGGCAGGACGUGUGACCCUGUGGGAGGGACCCAACGCUGGAGCAGUCUGCUCCUGAAGGUCUGCACCCUGUGGGAGAGACUACGCUGGAGCGGUUUGUGAAGGACUGUAGCCCGUGGGAGAGACUCCAUGUUGGAGCAGGGGAAUGUUGAGAGGAGUCCUCCCCCUGAGGACAAAGAAGUGGCAGAGACAAUGUGUGCUGAACUGACCGCAACCCCCAUUCCCUGCCCCCUUGUGCCGCUGAGGGGGGAGGAGGUUGAAGCCGGGAGUGAAGUUGAGCCCGAGAAGAUGGGAGGGGUGGGGGGAAGUGUUUUAAGACUUGAUUGUAUUUUCUCAUUGCUCUACUCUGUUUUGCCUAGUAAUAAAUUAGAUGAAUCUCCUCUCUA